CCCCCCCCCCCCCCCCUUCUUUCCUCAUGAUACUAUCUCUGCCACUUUUUUUUUUAUUCUCACACUAUGUACGAGUUUAUUUUGUUACAAGUGUAAGUAUUUGUAUAUAUCUUGUAGAUGUUACAUUAUCUACUUACAUUCACUUCACUCCUACUUUGUACAUCUGUAGUGCAAAUUUGUAGUAUUUCAUUUUUAUGGCUGAAUCAGCCUCCACAUCACAUUUAUCCCCAUCUUCAUUUCAUUAUCCUUCAGACCACUUUUUUAAAAAAAUGUUGCUAGUAAUAGGUGUUCUCAAAAAUCAAAUAAAUAAAAGCACAUCUAAAAUUCUACCUGAUGAGACCAUAGCUGGUUCAUAAGUUUGUGUUUUUUUUUUUUUUUUUUUUUUUA
Molecule: non-coding RNA, 387 nt
Organism: Biomphalaria pfeifferi
Lineage: Eukaryota; Metazoa; Mollusca; Gastropoda; Planorbidae
Source: the annotation of a GenBank genome assembly